RNAcentral lists this ribosomal RNA (186 nucleotides) under uncultured eukaryote. RNAcentral describes it as "partial 18S ribosomal RNA". It matches the Rfam family "Eukaryotic small subunit ribosomal RNA", at positions 1299 to 1458 of the family's 1831-position model. The record is from RNAcentral.
UGGUGGAGUGAUUUGUCUGGUUAAUUCCGAUAACGAACGAGACUCUGUCCUGCUAACUAGGUUGUGUUUUCUCGGGUUGGUGUUUCUGGUGCUCCUUCUCGGGGCGCCGGCCCAAUCCACUUGUGAACACAACACUCUUCUUAGAGGGACUGGCGGCUGUUAGCCGCACGAGAUAGAGCAAUAACA